Molecule: long non-coding RNA, 716 nt
Organism: Zophobas morio
Lineage: Eukaryota; Metazoa; Arthropoda; Insecta; Coleoptera; Tenebrionidae
Exons: 2
Source: RefSeq, a predicted model, not a curated record
ACCUUGGAAAGUUGAUACAAACAACGAUUGUAUCAAAUACCUAUUUUGUUCUGGCAAUAUGGAAACUUUAAUGAAGUGAUUUUACUACAGCGUAAACUCUAAACCAACAAAGAAAACUCUCAUGUAAAUAUUCUUCUUCGUUGAGAUAUCGAUUUAUGUAAAUACAAAACUAGACUAUUUAUAGGAAAGCCUUCAGCUAAGUCUAAAAUUUUAAAAUACGUAAAUGCAGUUUGUCCGCAGUAGAGGGUAGUCUUCAGAGCUGUUCAAAUUUCAUGACCUGCCCCAUCUGAAAUUUGUUAGUAAUCGAGUUCAAGUACAUCUGGUUCAGGCGAGUCAAUAUAAGUAUAUUUAAAAUGGUGUUCUGGCCCAGUUUACAUUCAUGGGUCAAUAAUAGUGUCUAAACUGUUUGCAAAAUACCAUGAAGCUAAUUCUGUUUGUUACGUUGGUGGUUCUUAUAUUAUUUGUUAGUGAUACUUUUGCACUAACACGAGGUAAACGUGGACUGCAUUUGCACUUUGGAUCUUCUAAACAUCACGUCGUACAUCAUGUUCACAGUGCUCCUGUUCUCCAUACUUACCAUGAACCAAUUAUCCAACAUCAUGUGAUAACGCCAGUUACUACUGUACAUCAUCAUUAUCUUAUUUAAUUGAAAUUAAUUAUUAACAGGUGUAUACUGUACAAAUGUAAUUUAUUUAAUAAAACGAAAUUAAUAAUUA